CCUGAGAAACCCAAAAGAUCGAAUGGGGAGACUCAACGAUUGCGAUCCUGGCGCUCGUGCGGUUCGCGAUGCUACGGGAUCUCGGUUCCGUUGGCACGCGUCCGCAUGUGUUGAUUCGCCGGGUGUCGCCGUCGCGCACUUCUCCCCUAGUAGGACGUCGCGACCCGUUGGGUGUCGGUCUACGGCCCGGGGUGGGAGCCUGUCGUUUGCUACGCUUCGCGGCGUGUCAUGCGGCAGACCCCCCGGUCGCCCGACCAGCUGCCCGGCGGUACUCGCACGGUAUCGGGCCGCAAACAUUUGAACUGCGUCGGGCCCGUCGCAAGCGAGGCCAGUGCACAACCCGGAUGCGCGGACCUAGCGCCGUCACCGGGCCUGGCCAGCUGUUGGCUGACGGUGUCCUAAGACAGGCUCGUUCUUUGAAUUGUGAUACCGGUCGGCGACGCUACUGCUUUGGGUACUUUCAGGACCCGUCUUGAAACACGGA
This 484-nucleotide ribosomal RNA is filed under the name Eucremastoides sp. JM337. RNAcentral's name for it is "eukaryotic LSU rRNA". Lineage: Eukaryota; Metazoa; Arthropoda; Insecta; Hymenoptera; Ichneumonidae. The record is from RNAcentral.